RNAcentral lists this ribosomal RNA (484 nucleotides) under uncultured bacterium. Its description in RNAcentral is "partial 16S ribosomal RNA". It matches the Rfam family "Bacterial small subunit ribosomal RNA", at positions 30 to 507 of the family's 1533-position model. The record is from RNAcentral.
AUUGAACGCUGGCGGCAGGCCUAACACAUGCAAGUCGAGCGGAUGAAGGGAGCUUGCUCCUGGAUUCAGCGGCGGACGGGUGAGUAAUGCCUAGGAAUCUGCCUGGUAGUGGGGGAUAACGUCCGGAAACGGGCGCUAAUACCGCAUACGUCCUGAGGGAGAAAGUGGGGGAUCUUCGGACCUCACGCUAUCAGAUGAGCCUAGGUCGGAUUAGCUAGUUGGUGGGGUAAAGGCCUACCAAGGCGACGAUCCGUAACUGGUCUGAGAGGAUGAUCAGUCACACUGGAACUUAGACACGGUCCAGACUCCUACGGGAGGCAGCAGUGGGGAAUAUUGGACAAUGGGCGAAAGCCUGAUCCAGCCAUGCCGCGUGCGUGAAGAAGGUCUUCGGAUUGUAAAGCACUUUAAGUUGGGAGGAAGGGCAGUAAGUUAAUACCUUGCUGUUUUGACGUUACCAACAGAAUAAGCACCGGCUAACUUCGUG